Mustela putorius furo (domestic ferret) is the source of this 136-nucleotide non-coding RNA. The record is from Rfam. Lineage: Eukaryota; Metazoa; Chordata; Mammalia; Carnivora; Mustelidae.
GUCUACGGCCAUACCACCCUGAAUGCGCCCGAUCUCGUCUGAUCUCGGAAGCUAAGCAGGGUCAGGCCUGGUUAGUACUUGGAUGGGAGAAUGAUGGAUUUGGAACUGAGAGACAAUAAAUUGGUAACUGUAACAU